This 218-nucleotide unclassified non-coding RNA is filed under the name uncultured Tomentellopsis. Its description in RNAcentral is "sequence contains ITS2". The record is from RNAcentral. Lineage: Eukaryota; Fungi; Basidiomycota; Agaricomycetes; Thelephorales; Thelephoraceae.
AAUUCUCAACUGCCCCAAGCUCUUUGUGGGUCAGUUGGAUCUUGGAGGACAUUGCUGGUGCGUGCUCCGUGCACGCUUGUCGGCUCCUCUUGAAUGCAUGAGCUUUCCAGUCCUUGGCAAAGUAUCGUCGAUGUGAUAGUUAUCUGCGUCGUCCGAGAAAAGCCGUGCAAGGGGAAAUCUACGAUCGUAUCGGCCCUUCGGGGUUCCGUGUCUGACAA